Oreochromis aureus is the source of this 1213-nucleotide long non-coding RNA. NCBI's taxonomy places the organism in Eukaryota, Metazoa, Chordata, Actinopteri, Cichliformes, Cichlidae. The record is from Ensembl.
AUCGAUACUGAAACGUAAGCCGUUAAUGAUGUAAAAAUCAUCUUGGUAAUCAUUUUCCUUAAACAUGGAAGAAUGCAUGUUGAAAAUACACAAAAUAACAGUAAAAUUCCUACGACUAUUAGACCCUUGUAUAACAAAACAGUCCAUGAGCUACUUAAUAACCAUCUCAGCCAGUCAGUGCCUCCAUCCACAUAUUCCUUUGACUGCACAUUCUGGAGCUGUUUUAAAACUUUUAAAGCAUCUGUCAUGUUACUAGAAUGUAUGUUAUCAGGUAUGUAAGUACAACAGGUGGUGUUAAAAAGUACACAUAAACCUCCCUUUUCUGCUAACACAAUAUCAAGCGCCACCUGAUGUGGCAUAUUGUGUCGUUGUGGGCAUGUAGGAGCAAACAUAGCAAUCUUUCCUGGGUGUGCUGUCAUGUAUAUAUCGAUACCAUGCGUUAUUCAUCCAGGGGUGGAUUUUAUCCUGUGUCAUAGCAUAAUGAUGUGAAUUAUCAUGUGUCCAGGCUCUUUUCUUGCGAGGUCCAUUUUUCUUCUUGAGCAGUAUUAGACAUCCUGCAACCAGGGCUGCCAAUGUCAAUGAGAUCAAAAGCAGCUUCAUGAUGACCUGAUACACCUAGCUCCUCUGGUAAGUAGACCACAAGCAAGAAGUAAAGGGCGGGGUGUACCCAAUCGGCCCUUCCUCCACUUUAUGGAUCACCAGAAGGUAGGGGAAUCGGCGUCUGUUAGUCUAUGCUCUCACUCACUUUCUUGCAGUGACUUUGAUGUAUCCAGGAUGGUCGCUCCGCGAUCUUACAUGCUGUGGGAGUGGUUAGAAGCACUUGGUAUGGUCCUUCCCAACGGGGUGAACUCCAGUUUUUCCUCUGGAGCACCUUGAUUAGGAUCCAAUCACCUGGUUUCAACCUGCAAGACACUGGUGAAAAGUCCUCUGGCAGUUUAUUAUUCAGAACGAUUUCUUUGUUUUCUAGCAGUUUAGCCAUCCAUUCUGCUAAUGUGGUUUCUCUAGAAGAUUUAGUUAAAGGUUCACUCGUUAUAGGUAGUGGAAAUGGUCUACCAUGGAUGAUCUCAAAUGGUGUGAGCUUCUGAGAUCCUUGUGUUAAUCUCAUCCACAUUUUUACCAGGCCUACACAUUCAGGCCACGGUCUUCCUGUUUCUUCCAUAUACUUCCUAAGUCUCUGCUUGAUUGUGCCAUUUGUUCUUUCUACUAAUCCUGC